Molecule: ribosomal RNA, 478 nt
Filed under: uncultured bacterium
Lineage: Bacteria
Description: partial 16S ribosomal RNA
Rfam family: Bacterial small subunit ribosomal RNA
Source: RNAcentral
AUUGAACGCUGGCGGCAUGCCUUACACAUGCAAGUCGAACGGUAACAGGUUAAGCUGACGAGUGGCGAACGGGUGAGUAAUACAUCGGAACGUGCCCAGUAGUGGGGGAUAGCCCGGCGAAAGCCGGAUUAAUACCGCAUACGACCUAAGGGUGAAAGGGGGGGGAUCGCAAGACCUCUCGCUAUUGGAGCGGCCGAUGUCAGAUUAGCUAGUUGGUGGGGUAAAAGCUCACCAAGGCGACGAUCUGUAGCUGGUCUGAGAGGACGACCAGCCACACUGGGACUGAGACACGGCCCAGACUCCUACGGGAGGCAGCAGUGGGGAAUUUUGGACAAUGGGCGCAAGCCUGAUCCAGCCAUGCCGCGUGCGGGAAGAAGGCCUUCGGGUUGUAAACCGCUUUUGUCAGGGAAGAAAUCCUUUGGGUUAAUACCUCGGGGGGAUGACGGUACCUGAAGAAUAAGCACCGGCUAACUACGUG